Molecule: unclassified non-coding RNA, 232 nt
Filed under: Hevea brasiliensis (rubber tree)
Lineage: Eukaryota; Viridiplantae; Streptophyta; Magnoliopsida; Malpighiales; Euphorbiaceae
Source: RNAcentral
AUGAGUUUCUUCCAAUUUUUGCUGUUCACAAAGUAUUGGCAUAACAAAAUCUAUUAAUAAGGGUAGUUAAAAUACUAGAAAGGAGUAUUCAUGGGAGAUUCAAAAGUUUCAAACAUGAAAAUAAUAACAAUGGCCCAGAUGAAAAAUGCAUUCUACUGACUUAUUUCAAUUCUUCUCAACAACCGGAUAGCACAUACGAACAGUUUACCUGCAUGCUAUAAAUCCGCCAUGG